Molecule: transfer RNA, 90 nt
Filed under: Wenzhouxiangella sp.
Lineage: Bacteria; Pseudomonadati; Pseudomonadota; Gammaproteobacteria; Chromatiales; Wenzhouxiangellaceae
Description: tRNA-Ser
Rfam family: tRNA
About the family: Transfer RNA (tRNA) molecules are approximately 80 nucleotides in length. Their secondary structure includes four short double-helical elements and three loops (D, anti-codon, and T loops).
Source: RNAcentral
GGAGGGGUGGCAGAGUGGUCGAAUGCACCGGUCUUGAAAACCGGCAAGGGUUAGCGCCCUUCGUGGGUUCGAAUCCCACCCCCUCCGCCA